CUCCUCUUUUAGGAUUGGCUGCCCCUCCGCAUCCAUAAUGUAAUUAAAACAAGGGGGGAAAAAUUAUCAUGGAGGCAGAGGUUAAUGCAAGUGUUCAGCAGAUGCCUUACUGUAAAAUCUGCGUUAAAAAAACCCCAAAAACAAAAAAAACAACCAAACCCAAACAACCAACAACCAAAAAACGACAAUCAAAAAACCAACAAACUCAUUAAAACUUAAAUAUCGGAUAAUCCCCAACCAGCUUGCUGCCUGCCUACGCCUACCUCGACCAGUACUCGCCCGAAUGACUUACGCUCCUGAAAUCAGUUUCAUGCUUGUUUAACUGGUCUGAUCGGAAAGUAACUGAAGAAGCCGAAAAAUGGAGAACCGAGUGUCAUGUACCUCCUCAUACCUGCAGGGAAACGGAACCGUGGCCAAAACGUCGGGUGUAAAUGUGACAACAAAAAAUAAAUAUUUUACAUCACGGCGCAGAACAUAUUUUACUAAGUUAACACUUUGUUUUUCUGCUUUUCAUUUUUUCUUCCCUCGAGGAAGAGGGGAUGCUCCCUUUUUAUUAGAUAUUCUCUAAAAGAUUAUUUUGAUCUCCGUCCAGGUGUGUAUAUCUAUAUCUAUACAUACAUAGACACACAUAUACAACAGAAACGCGGACGAUGAUGUGUGUGCAGGAGCUGGUGCGGUGGCCGGGAGAGGAGCGGGCAGACAUGCCCUAGGUGAGAUCCGAGGGCCCUGCGGGCUGCAGGCAAAAGAGCGAAAGCGAGCCCCGGUUUUCGGAACUAAAGUUGAUUCGUAAAAUCGAGAGCGGGGAGAUUUCAAUACCGUUCAAGUGUCAGCGCUUCGAGGAAGAGUCCUGAAAGAGGACCGCAGCCC
Harpia harpyja (harpy eagle) is the source of this 867-nucleotide long non-coding RNA. RefSeq lists it as uncharacterized. Lineage: Eukaryota; Metazoa; Chordata; Aves; Accipitriformes; Accipitridae. The transcript has 3 exons. The record is from RefSeq and is a predicted model, not a curated record.